Pelobates cultripes (western spadefoot toad) is the source of this 418-nucleotide non-coding RNA. Lineage: Eukaryota; Metazoa; Chordata; Amphibia; Anura; Pelobatidae. The record is from the annotation of a GenBank genome assembly.
UUUAAAAUGGGCAUCCCAUGAUCCUCUGAUCAUCUAUUGAGACUUAGUUAAGAGGUGAAUAUGAUCUUACUGAAAAGAGUUUACAAUCUCUGAGAUGGGCUUAGAAUUUAUGAGAGCUAUCUAUUUAUUUGAUUUGAAUAUGGUUAAUUCUGCAAUCCUAGUGGCAUUCGUGUUCCAACCCACUAUCCCCGUGGUUGGGGGUAACAUUUCAGCUGAGUUACCCCUCAUGGCUAUUGUCACUAUGCCUAUAUACUAGAGUCAACUGAGCAUUGUUCUAUCUUGUAGACUCUUGAUAAAUAUUCCUGUCUACCACGGUCACUAUGUCCACCGCAAGAUCCCUGCUACUCCCCCAUGCUAUACUAUGAGAAACCGUGCCUAAAAUGUAUUGUAUACGCACUCUUCAAAACUAAAGAGCGAC